Molecule: ribosomal RNA, 427 nt
Filed under: uncultured bacterium
Lineage: Bacteria
Description: bacterial SSU rRNA
Rfam family: Bacterial small subunit ribosomal RNA
Source: RNAcentral
UGGGGAAUUUUGGACAAUGGGCGCAAGCCUGAUCCAGCAAUGCCGCGUGCAGGAUGAAGGCCUUCGGGUUGUAAACUGCUUUUGUACGGAACGAAAAGCUUCUGGUUAAUACCUGGGAGUCAUGACGGUACCGUAAGAAUAAGCACCGGCUAACUACGUGCCAGCAGCCGCGGUAAUACGUAGGGUGCGAGCGUUAAUCGGAACUACUGGGCGUAAAGUGUGCGCAGGCGGUUAUGUAAGACAGAGGUGAAAUCCCCGGGCUCAACCUGGGAACUGCCUUUGUGACUGCAUGGCUAGAGUGCGGCAGAGGGGGAUGGAAUUCCGCGUGUAGCAGUGAAAUGCGUAGAUAUGCGGAGGAGCACCGAUGGCGAAGGCAAUCCCCUGGGCCUGCACUGACGCUCAUGCACGAAAGCGUGGGGAGCAAACA